RNAcentral lists this ribosomal RNA (271 nucleotides) under uncultured bacterium. RNAcentral's name for it is "partial 16S ribosomal RNA". It matches the Rfam family "Bacterial small subunit ribosomal RNA", at positions 524 to 794 of the family's 1533-position model. The record is from RNAcentral.
UACGAAGGGUGCAAGCGUUAAUCGGAAUCACUGGGCGUAAAGGGCGCGUAGGCGGCCAUUCAAGUCGGGGGUGAAAGCCUGUGGCUCAACCACAGAAUUGCCUUCGAUACUGUUUGGCUUGAGUUUGGUAGAGGUUGGUGGAACUGCGAGUGUAGAGGUGAAAUUCGUAGAUAUUCGCAAGAACACCAGUGGCGAAGGCGGCCAACUGGACCAACACCGACGCUGAGGCGCGAAAGCGUGGGGAGCAAACAGGAUUAGAAACCCUAGUAGU